RNAcentral lists this ribosomal RNA (440 nucleotides) under uncultured bacterium. RNAcentral describes it as "partial 16S ribosomal RNA". It matches the Rfam family "Bacterial small subunit ribosomal RNA", at positions 338 to 795 of the family's 1533-position model. The record is from RNAcentral.
CCUACGGGUGGCAGCAGUGGGGAAUAUUGCACAAUGGGGGCAACCCUGAUGCAGCGACGCCGCGUGAGUGAAGAAGUAAUUCGUUAUGUAAAGCUCUAUCAGCAGGGAAGAAAAUGACGGUACCUGAGUAAGAAGCCCCGGCUAACUACUUGCCAGCAGCCGCGGUAAUACGGAGGGGGCAAGCGUUAUCCGGAUUUAGUGGGUGUAACGGGAGCGUAGACGGCAGUGCAAGUCUGGAGUGAAAGGCGGGGGCUCAACCCCCGGACUGCUCUGGAAACUGGACGGCUGGAGUGCAGGAGAGGUAAGUGGAAUUCCUGGUGUAGCGGUGAAAUGCGUAGAUAUUAGGAGGAACACCAGUGGCGAAGGCGGGUUACUGGACUGUAACUGACGCUGAGGCUCGAAAGCGUGGGGAGCGAACAGGAUUAGAUACCCUUGUAGUC